GCCUUCUUGGCUCAGUUGGCAGAGCGUCUGCCUAGUAAGCAGAAGGUCGCUAGUUCGAUUCUGGCAGAAGGCA
RNAcentral lists this transfer RNA (73 nucleotides) under Blakeslea trispora. Its description in RNAcentral is "tRNA-Thr". It matches the Rfam family "tRNA". Rfam says of the family: Transfer RNA (tRNA) molecules are approximately 80 nucleotides in length. Their secondary structure includes four short double-helical elements and three loops (D, anti-codon, and T loops). The record is from RNAcentral. RNAcentral also lists the same sequence under 6 other names. Lineage: Eukaryota; Fungi; Mucoromycota; Mucoromycetes; Mucorales; Choanephoraceae.